UACGAAGGGGGCUAGCGUUGCUCGGAAUUACUGGGCGUAAAGCGCACGUAGGCGGCUCUUUAAGUCGGAGGUGAAAUCCUGGAGCUCAACUCCAGAACUGCCUUCGAUACUGUAGAGCUUGAGUUCGGGAGAGGUGAGUGGAACUGCGAGUGUAGAGGUGAAAUUCGUAGAUAUUCGCAAGAACACCAGUGGCGAAGGCGGCUCACUGGCCCGAUACUGACGCUGAGGUGCGAAAGCGUGGGGAGUAAACAGG
Molecule: ribosomal RNA, 253 nt
Filed under: uncultured bacterium
Lineage: Bacteria
Description: partial 16S ribosomal RNA
Rfam family: Bacterial small subunit ribosomal RNA
Source: RNAcentral